CACUCAGCCACGGGGACAAGGGUCCACAUCGACUCUGCGGUCGGUUGACCUUCAGACGUCCGGUUUGUAAUCACGCCGC
Molecule: small nucleolar RNA, 79 nt
Filed under: Trypanosoma cruzi
Lineage: Eukaryota; Euglenozoa; Kinetoplastea; Trypanosomatida; Trypanosomatidae
Description: C/D small nucleolar RNA (snoRNA)
Source: RNAcentral